AGUGAACGCUGGCGGUAGGCCUAACACAUGCAAGUCGAACGGCAGCACAGUAAGAGCUUGCUCUUACGGGUGGCGAGUGGCGGACGGGUGAGGAAUACAUCGGAAUCUACUUUUUCGUGGGGGAUAACGUAGGGAAACUUACGCUAAUACCGCAUACGACCUACGGGUGAAAGCAGGGGAUCUUCGGACCUUGCGCGAUUGAAUGAGCCGAUGUCGGAUUAGCUAGUUGGCGGGGUAAAGGCCCACCAAGGCGACGGUCCGUAGCUGGUCUGGGAGGAUGAUCAGCCACACUGGAACUGAGACACGUUCCAGACUCCUACGGGAGGCAGCAGUGGGGAAUAUUGGACAAUGGGCGCAAGCCUGAUCCAGCCAUACCGCGUGGGUGAAGAAGGCCUUCGGGUUGUAAAGCCCUUUUGUUGGGAAAGAAAAGCAGCAGGUUAAUACCCCGCUGUUCUGACGGUACCCAAAGAAUAAGCACCGGCUAACUUCGUG
RNAcentral lists this ribosomal RNA (492 nucleotides) under uncultured bacterium. RNAcentral describes it as "partial 16S ribosomal RNA". It matches the Rfam family "Bacterial small subunit ribosomal RNA", at positions 29 to 507 of the family's 1533-position model. The record is from RNAcentral.